RNAcentral lists this ribosomal RNA (253 nucleotides) under uncultured bacterium. RNAcentral describes it as "partial 16S ribosomal RNA". It matches the Rfam family "Bacterial small subunit ribosomal RNA", at positions 524 to 776 of the family's 1533-position model. The record is from RNAcentral.
UACGUAGGGUGCGAGCGUUAAUCGGAAUUACUGGGCGUAAGGCGUGCGUAGGCGGUUCGUUAAGUUCGUUGUGAAAGCCCCGGGCUCAACCUGGGAAUGGCAAUGGAAACUGGCGGGCUGGAGUAUGGCAGAGGGGGGUGGAAUUCCGCGUGUAGCAGUGAAAUGCGUAGAGAUGCGGAGGAACACCGAUGGCGAAGGCAGCCCCCUGGGCCAAUACUGACGCUCAGGCACGAAAGCGUGGGGAGCAAACAGG